GAUGAACGCUGGCGGCGUGCCUAAUACAUGCAAGUCGAGCGAACAGACGAGGAGCUUGCUCCUCUGACGUUAGCGGCGGACGGGUGAGUAACACGUGGAUAACCUACCUAUAAGACUGGGACAACUUCGGGAAACCGGAGCUAAUACCGGAUAAUAUAUUGAACCGCAUGGUUCAAUAGUGAAAGACGGUUUUGCUGUCACUUAUAGAUGGAUCCGCGCCGCAUUAGCUAGUUGGUAAGGUAACGGCUUACCAAGGCAACGAUGCGUAGCCGACCUGAGAGGGUGAUCGGCCACACUGGAACUGAGACACGGUCCAGACUCCUACGGGAGGCAGCAGUAGGGAAUCUUCCGCAAUGGGCGAAAGCCUGACGGAGCAACGCCGCGUGAGUGAUGAAGGUCUUCGGAUCGUAAAACUCUGUUAUUAGGGAAGAACAAAUGUGUAAGUAACUAUGCACGUCUUGACGGUACCUAAUCAGGAAGCCACGGCUAACUACGUG
This 497-nucleotide ribosomal RNA is filed under the name uncultured bacterium. Its description in RNAcentral is "partial 16S ribosomal RNA". It matches the Rfam family "Bacterial small subunit ribosomal RNA", at positions 28 to 507 of the family's 1533-position model. The record is from RNAcentral.